GCCUUGGUAGCUCAGUGGUAGAGCGUGUGCUUGGUAAGCACAAGGUCGUGGAUUCAACUUCCAUCCAAGGCU
This 72-nucleotide transfer RNA is filed under the name archaeon. RNAcentral describes it as "tRNA-Thr". It matches the Rfam family "tRNA". Rfam says of the family: Transfer RNA (tRNA) molecules are approximately 80 nucleotides in length. Their secondary structure includes four short double-helical elements and three loops (D, anti-codon, and T loops). Further hydrogen bonds mediate the characteristic L-shaped molecular structure. tRNAs have two regions of fundamental functional importance: the anti-codon, which is responsible for specific mRNA codon recognition, and the 3' end, to which the tRNAs corresponding amino acid is attached (by aminoacyl-tRNA synthetases). tRNAs cope with the degeneracy of the genetic code in two manners: having more than one tRNA (with a specific anti-codon) for a particular amino acid; and 'wobble' base-pairing, i.e. permitting non-standard base-pairing at the 3rd anti-codon position. The record is from RNAcentral.